GCGUAGAUAUAUUACCUACAUAUAAGAAUAAAAUGUAUUAACCUCCUUUUGCAAAUAGGAAAUAAAACGCAACCAACGCCUAAGUACCUAUGAAGAUAA
Molecule: long non-coding RNA, 99 nt
Organism: Drosophila miranda
Lineage: Eukaryota; Metazoa; Arthropoda; Insecta; Diptera; Drosophilidae
Exons: 2
Source: RefSeq, a predicted model, not a curated record